AAAAACAUAGGUUUCUGCUAAGUCGCGAGACGAGGUAUAGGAGCUGAAGCCUGCCCGGUGCUGGAAGGUUAAGGGGAGCUGUUAGAGUAAUCGAAGCAGUGAACUUAAGCCCCAGUAAACGGCGGCCGUAACUAUAACGGUCCUAAGGUAGCGAAAUUCCUUGUCGGGUAAGUUCCGACCCGCACGAAAGGCGUAACGAUUUGGGCACUGUCUCAACAACAGACUCGGUGAAAUUGUAAUUCCGGUGAAGAUGCCGGAUACCUGCGACAGGACGGAAAGACCCCAUGGAGCUUUACUGUAGCUUGACAUUGGGUCUUGGUACUACAUGUACAGGAUAGGUGGGAGGCUUUGAAACCAGGACGCCAGUUUUGGCGGAGCCAUCCUUGGGAUACCACCCUUGUAGUACUGGGACUCUAACCAUAGGCCAUGAAUCUGGUCUUGGGACACUGUCAGGUGGGCAGUUUGACU
Molecule: ribosomal RNA, 468 nt
Filed under: Clostridioides difficile
Lineage: Bacteria; Bacillati; Bacillota; Clostridia; Peptostreptococcales; Peptostreptococcaceae
Description: bacterial LSU rRNA
Rfam family: Bacterial large subunit ribosomal RNA
Source: RNAcentral